Molecule: unclassified non-coding RNA, 226 nt
Filed under: Hevea brasiliensis (rubber tree)
Lineage: Eukaryota; Viridiplantae; Streptophyta; Magnoliopsida; Malpighiales; Euphorbiaceae
Source: RNAcentral
GAAGCCCACGGGCUUGGGGAUCGGAAUCAACACCUCGCGAUUGACGGCGAAUAUAGGACAGUGGCGACCGAUGACGUCUUGCCAGACGGUCCUCGACCCGUGGUACUGUCCGGCCUUGCUGACGGGGACGAUGUCGCCAGGGCGGUAAGCGAGAGAUAUGGAGAACAGCAAGGAGAGGCAGAGGAGGAAGCCGGGGACUGAUCCAUGGGGGGCGCUGCGAUCGCCG